UACAGAGGUCUCAAGCGUUGUUCGGAUUCAUUGGGCGUAAAGGGUGCGUAGGCGGCGCGGUAAGUCGGGUGUGAAAUCUCGGAGCUUAACUCCGAAACUGCAUUCGAUACUGCCGUGCUUGAGGACUGGAGAGGAGACUGGAAUUUACGGUGUAGCGGUGAAAUGCGUAGAUAUCGUAAGGAAGACCAGUGGCGAAGGCGGGUCUCUGGGCCGACACUGACGCUGAUGCGCGAAAGCCAGGGGAGCGAACGGG
RNAcentral lists this ribosomal RNA (253 nucleotides) under uncultured bacterium. RNAcentral's name for it is "partial 16S ribosomal RNA". It matches the Rfam family "Bacterial small subunit ribosomal RNA", at positions 524 to 776 of the family's 1533-position model. The record is from RNAcentral.